GGCCAACACAUGAAUUCGUCUUUUCCAUUGCAUUCCUUUUCUUUUUGGCAUAAUAAUGAUAAUAAAUUAAAAAACUAUAUACAGUUGUACAGCUUGCAGAGAACUUUGUUCACACAUCUGUACAGAGGAUUAACAGAAGAUACGGAAAGCAAAUCCACAUCUAGUCCUACGUUUAUACUUCACCUGUUAGCACCCUCCACGAAUUUAAUAAUUUUCAUUUACAGAAUGUACACCACAGAGUGAGAGAGAAGAUUAAAUACAACGGCAAAUAUCGUAGUUUGAAUUGCCACCCCUCUUAUUCACACCAUCACUUUACUUUCAUCGUCAAUAGGUAACGUCUUCAAUGAAAUAACACCAAGCUUUAGUUGUAGCGACACG
This 378-nucleotide unclassified non-coding RNA is filed under the name Hevea brasiliensis (rubber tree). The record is from RNAcentral. Lineage: Eukaryota; Viridiplantae; Streptophyta; Magnoliopsida; Malpighiales; Euphorbiaceae.